Molecule: transfer RNA, 73 nt
Filed under: Limosilactobacillus ingluviei
Lineage: Bacteria; Bacillati; Bacillota; Bacilli; Lactobacillales; Lactobacillaceae
Description: Lactobacillus ingluviei tRNA
Rfam family: tRNA
About the family: Transfer RNA (tRNA) molecules are approximately 80 nucleotides in length. Their secondary structure includes four short double-helical elements and three loops (D, anti-codon, and T loops). Further hydrogen bonds mediate the characteristic L-shaped molecular structure. tRNAs have two regions of fundamental functional importance: the anti-codon, which is responsible for specific mRNA codon recognition, and the 3' end, to which the tRNAs corresponding amino acid is attached (by aminoacyl-tRNA synthetases). tRNAs cope with the degeneracy of the genetic code in two manners: having more than one tRNA (with a specific anti-codon) for a particular amino acid; and 'wobble' base-pairing, i.e. permitting non-standard base-pairing at the 3rd anti-codon position.
Source: Rfam by way of RNAcentral
GCACGAGUAGCUCAAUUGGUAGAGCGCACAACUUAUAAUUGUGAGAGUGGCGGUUCAAAUCCGCCCUUGUGCA